Molecule: ribosomal RNA, 377 nt
Filed under: uncultured bacterium
Lineage: Bacteria
Description: bacterial SSU rRNA
Rfam family: Bacterial small subunit ribosomal RNA
Source: RNAcentral
GAUGAACGCUGGCGGCGUGCCUAACACAUGCGAGUCGAGCGAUUUACUUCGGUAAAGAGCGGCGGACGGGUGAGUAACGCGUGGGUAACCUGCCCUGUACACACGGAUAACAUACCGAAAGGUAUGCUAAUACGAGAUAAUAUGCUUUUAUCGCAUGGUAGAAGUAUCAAAGCUUUUGCGGUACAGGAUGGACCCGCGUCUGAUUAGCUAGUUGGUAAGGUAACGGCUUACCAAGGCGACGAUCAGUAGCCGACCUGAGAGGGUGAUCGGCCACAUUGGAACUGAGACACGGUCCAAACUCCUACGGGAGGCAGCAGUGGGGAAUAUUGCACAAUGGGCGAAAGCCUGAUGCAGCAACGCCGCGUGAGCGAUGAAGG